UUUUAAAAAAAAAAAAAAAAAACGUGUAUCACAAUACCGCCGAUUUCGCGCGAAAAAUAUUCGAAUACUUCGUACGUUAUUAUUAUCAACGGCAAAAGUAUAUACUACUAUAAGCGCGAUAUGAAUAAACCCGUGAAAAAAAAAAAAAAAUCUCGGUUUUAUUAUACCAUUCGUCUUUUAACCAUCGGCAGAGGAAUCAUACAUCUAUCAUUAUCGAAAAUUCAGAUUAAAUUUAUUUCUUCGCCUCGAUAUUCCGUUAUGUUACGAACAAUAUUAUGCACGGUGUCCCGCGGAGACAAUAUGCGCAUUGCGAUAUCUCGGAAAGAAUUAAAAGGGUUUUGACAAAUUAGGAAACAAGUGCACUCAUACGAAUGAUGUUCCACAACUCUUUUAUUCCUAGGCAAAUUGUGCUAAAAACUAAUUGUUUGUUAUAUUGCCAAAAAAAAAAAAAAAAUAAAUUCCGAAACAAGUUAUUAAUUUCCGAGAUAUCGCGAUGGGACACUCUGUAUUGGGUUAUUAUGCGGAAACGAAGGGUAAAAACGA
This is a non-coding RNA of Cinara cedri, 543 nucleotides long. NCBI's taxonomy places the organism in Eukaryota, Metazoa, Arthropoda, Insecta, Hemiptera, Aphididae. The record is from the annotation of a GenBank genome assembly.